Molecule: long non-coding RNA, 518 nt
Filed under: Ananas comosus (pineapple)
Lineage: Eukaryota; Viridiplantae; Streptophyta; Magnoliopsida; Poales; Bromeliaceae
Description: long non-coding RNA (ACOM_LNC031717)
Source: RNAcentral
CACAGGCAAUAUUCACAAAGUGAAUUUUCGGACCCACUUAUAAGCGCCCGAAACAUAGGAUCCGAAUUGGCUUCCAAUUUCAGUUUAAUUUAGUUCAAUUCAACACUCAAGAUCUGGGCGACCCAAACAUGGUAUGGGCGCCCGAAUCUGGCAAAACUCCAGUUUUACUUAUUUGAGUGCGCUAAUUCCAUUUCUGACGACUCCGACUCAGUCCGACACUCUCCAGAUGUGUCGACCAGUCAUUAAUAUUGUAGCCAAUAUUAUCCAAAACUCUGAAACACUACACCUAAUCACCCAUUUUUCCAAUCCGGCCUAGGAGGCCGGAUUAGAAGUUGAAUCCGGACGGAAUUGAUAUUUAUUCGGAUUAAAUUUAUUUUUUCAACUUUUUUAAUUAAAAUAUGAGUUCAAAUUUAGAAAAUAAAUAUAUAAUUUUAAAUUUUAAUGUGAACUUGAAUUAAAAAUUAAAAUUUAAUCAAGUAUUUCGAAUAUAACUUAUGAAUUUGAAUUUAAAUUAAAUU